This 198-nucleotide ribosomal RNA is filed under the name uncultured bacterium. Its description in RNAcentral is "partial 16S ribosomal RNA". It matches the Rfam family "Bacterial small subunit ribosomal RNA", at positions 328 to 539 of the family's 1533-position model. The record is from RNAcentral.
ACGCUCGACACCUACGUGAGGCAGCAGUGGGGAAUAUUGCACAAUGGGGGAAACCCUGAUGCAGCGACGCCGCGUGAGUGAAGAAGUAUUUCGGUAUGUAAAGCUCUAUCAGCAGGGAAGAAAAUGACGGUACCUGAGUAAGAAGCCCCGGCUAACUACGUGCCAGCAGCCGCGGUAAUCUGAGCGGGCUGGCAAGGC